RNAcentral lists this ribosomal RNA (484 nucleotides) under uncultured bacterium. RNAcentral describes it as "partial 16S ribosomal RNA". It matches the Rfam family "Bacterial small subunit ribosomal RNA", at positions 30 to 507 of the family's 1533-position model. The record is from RNAcentral.
AUUGAACGCUGGCGGCAGGCCUAACACAUGCAAGUCGAGCGGAUGAAGGGAGCUUGCUCCUGGCUUCAGCGGCGGACGGGUGAGUAAUGCCUAGGAAUCUGCCUGGUAGUGGGGGAUAACGUCCGGUAACGGGCGCUAAUACCGCAUACGUCCUGAGGGAGAAAGUGGGGGAUCUUCGGACCUCACGCUAUCAGAUGAGCCUAGGUCGGAUUAGCUAGUUGGUUGGGUAAAGGCCUACCAAGGCGACGAUCCGUAACUGGUCUGAGAGGAUGAUCAGUCACACUGGAACUGAGACACGGUCCAGACUCCUACGGGAGGCAGCAGUGGGGAAUAUUGGACAAUGGGCGAAAGCCUGAUCCAGCCAUGCCGCGUGUGUGAAGAAGGUCUUCGGAUUGUAAAGCACUUUAAGUUGGGAGGAAGAGCAGUAAGUGAAUACCUUGCUGUUUUGACGUUACCAACAGAAUAAGCACCGGCUAACUUCGUG